Molecule: long non-coding RNA, 3548 nt
Organism: Oreochromis niloticus (Nile tilapia)
Lineage: Eukaryota; Metazoa; Chordata; Actinopteri; Cichliformes; Cichlidae
Exons: 3
Source: RefSeq, a predicted model, not a curated record
UGGCGGACACGUGAUAGUUCCUGGUGACAACAGCUGAUCAGAUCGCAAAGUAUGUUUCUGGACUGUUUGUCUUUUUACACGAUUCUUGCAAAGCCAUAGUGGAUGGAAAGUGUGACCUGGGAGAAGAGGAAUGCAUGAUAUCAGAGAAGAGAAGAGAAGAGAAGAGAAGAGAAGAGAAGGUGUUGUCUCGUCUCCUGUGAAUACACCAGGUAGGUGUCCAGAGAGGAGGGGCUUAGUGUCCACUGGCUUGUUUCUUCCUGGAAUUAAGUUGUAGUCGAAGGAGAGAGAGAGAGAUUGAGUCAGAGAGUGAACAACCAUAAGCAUAAGGUGAGUUUCCAGUUUAAUUCCUGAGAGACGAAGACCAACUGUUAUGGAAGUGGUGUGACUUUCAACAAUAGGAAUCCACUCCUACAGCUGGCACAUGAUGACUUAGAACACACUGAGAAGACACAUUAGCACACAAGGGGGAGAAGAAAAAAUGUGUAAGGAGCUACGGCACUACGGUGCCUGUUUACCACACUAAGAAGGCAGAUAAUCUGGCAGAAGCUGGACGGCAGCGCUUGUCCUUUUAUGCUGUGGCUGAUCAGGCUGAUGAGACACAGGUGAUCUGGCUGAGGAGUGGGAAAAGCUCUGGACUCCACCCAAAGGGGUGGAGAAUGUUGCUCAACACACAAACAAGUGGCGGACUAUGACAUCUUGGGCUCAGAAGAAUCAAAGGCAGGUUUCUUUAAAUGUUCUUUAUUGCAAAAAGAAAAGACAAUUAAAAACAUCAUGCCAUUUAAGUGAUCACAUUUGCAAAGUAAGCCAUCUACACUUCCAGCACUCUUGCAUUUAAAGAAUUUAAGAGAUCCUUAAACGUUAUACUGUUCAAUAUUCACUGUCACUCAGUCUUGCAACAGUUCCUUCUCAGUCAGCAGUGUCUCCUCAGGAAUACACAGGGUGCGUGACUGUGACUUCUCAUCAUCAAUGCAGUUUUAUUUCAUCCUUCACACAGCUUCAAAUCACUCCAGGAGCAUUUCAGAACCAGAACAUUUAGACUUAUGUUUUCAGAAAUUCAACAUCUUUAAUAAUUUGUAUUCAGGUCACAGCAAAAUUGGGCUGAGAAGUGAUCAGUGAUACAGUGAUGAGUCAAGAAUGUGUUCUUUUUGGGGGCAAUUAACUAAAAACUGACCUGUUGGAUUAGAAGGCUGAUAAAUUUUAAAAAAGGAUUUAGCUAGUCAACUUUUGUGAGCUGUACUUCACAAUAAGUAAAGGCUUCUGCACUCACUAGAGGAAAAAAACGAGAUUUUUCCAGAUUUCUGAAAGACUCGUCAGGAUCUCAGUAUUCAAACAAGCCAUUUCUGAGUGAGCCCUUUACACUGGUAUUUUCAUUCAAGUUGUUUUAUUUUUCAUUGCAUAUGUUUGUAUUUUAGCCUUUUGUAGGAGGAAAUUGAAAAUGCAUCUUUUAGGAAACUGCCUUCCAGGGUAAAGCUAUUCAGAAAAUGUGUUUGCAGUGUUCACUGCUAGAUAGGGAAAAAUCACUUUUUUUUCUCAUGACAUCAGAAUGCUAAGUGCUCUUCUCAGAACUUUUUGAAAACACUUUAUAUAAACACAAGUUGGUUGGGCAAAUUAUUGACACCAUGCUCUUGACAACAUUUCAAUUGUUUUUUAGCUUUUUUUCAUGUGGACAGAUUGUUUUUUUUCUUUUCCAAAAAAAAGCCCUGUCUACCCACACUUUUAAAAAACAAUUUGAUAGUAAAACUACAUGUUACUAGGCUACAAAGUCAUUAUUUGGUGCAAAAUACAGCUACAUUAGCACUAGGUACAACUACUUCACAAGUUUCAUUACUUUACACACUGGAUUGUGCCCAUUUUUGCCCUCAGAACUGCCUUGACUCUUUGUGUCAUUCAUUUAACAAGGUGCUGGAAACAUUCCCCAGAGAUUUUGGUCCAUAUUGACAUGAUAGUAUCAUGCAGUUGUUCUAGAUUUGUUGGCUGCACAUGAUUUGAGCCAUUAAGAUGGCUACACUGUGUUCAUAAAGGUAUGGACAUGGUCAGAAGCAAAAGAUGUAUACUUUGGUACAAAGUGGCCCUAAGGGUGCCAAGAAUAUAUCUCCCACAUCAUUACACCACCAUCACCAGCCUGAACCAUUGGUAAAAGGCAGGAUGCUUUCAUGCAUUUCCAUCAAAUUCUGAUCCUACCAUCUGAAUGUUGCAGAAGAAAUCAAGUCUCAUCACACCAGGCAAUUUUUUCAAAUCCUCUGAUGUCAAAAUUUGGUGAGCCCGUUGUUACGAACACCGUGCAAACUGUAGCCUCGGUUUCCUGUUCUUAGCUGACAGGAGUGGCACCCAGUGUGCACCCAGCACACCAGCCCUUAGGUGCAGACUCCGGGAGCGCUCGCUCUCUCUCUCCCCUCCACAUGUCUGUGGUGCUAAUAGACAAGCAGCGAUGACUGAUUUGUUUUCUUGUUUAUAUUCUUCAUUGUUACAGUCCCUAAAUUAAUGGCUCAAAGAAACCUCAACUAAAAUGUAAUGCAUGUAACUUAAGAAAAAUAUAAGAUGCCAAAACACUGCUGCUAUUCUUCAACAGUCUUUCAAUAAUGAGAAUUUGAUCGCUUACGAGAAACCAACAGAAACAAAAAGAGUCAGGAGCCCAAAGCUAUAGCAAAAGAGCAAGAACACACAAUAGUUUGUUGAUUCAGGCUUCUUCCCUGAACUAGUUUUUGGUCAACUUAAGUAAUAGAAACAAAAUUAAAACUGGACUGUUGUUAACUCCCAAGUCAAGCUACAUUGAUAAGCAAAACUGUAAAAGCAACAGAAAGAUAAAGCCAGUGCUGACUGAGUUGAGGGAGAAGAGAGAGGGAAAAAGACAAACUGUCUUUAUCCACGUUUGUCUUUUGUCCUGUCUCCUUCUCCUCACCCCCAACCAGUCGCUGUAGAUAGCCGCCCCUCCUUAACCCUGGUUCUGCCAGAACAGGGUUACCUCCUGUUAAAUAUUUAGUUUUUCCUUUCCAUUGUCGCCAAGUGCUUAUUCAUAGUUGAUCAUCUGAUUGUUGGGGUUGUCUCUCUAUUAUUGUAGGGUUUUUACCAUACAGUAUCAAGUGCCUUGAGGUGACUGUUGUUGUGGUUUUGCGCUAUAUAAUUAAAAUUGAAUUGAAUUGAAUUGAAAAAUUAUUAAGAGGAGGCAAGCUUCCUCUGGAUCCUUGUAAUUCAAACUCAUACUUUAGGGUGAAAAACGCGUCCACUGCGCUCUACGCGUCCAGUUAAAUUGUGUGCACAAAUAAAUUAAACUGUAAAUGUACGCACAAACUAAUAAGAAGGCUGUAGUAGUUUUUCUUAGACCUUAGAACUUUUACAGAACUUUCCUGUCCCAUAUUGAGCUGGUUUCUAGCACACCUGACUAACUAAGGGUAGCAAGUGUCACUGUAGUCUCACUAUGUUAUUGUAUUACAAGACAGACUCAUGCCUGUCUUAAAUCACCAGGCACUGCUUGUUUUAGUGGAAGUACAGAACUCAGCCUGAGUAUUUUUGCCACAGAUCUUGUAGACUCCUAGCUUGUUUCCCAUGAU